Lolium perenne is the source of this 1495-nucleotide non-coding RNA. The record is from RefSeq and is a predicted model, not a curated record. NCBI's taxonomy places the organism in Eukaryota, Viridiplantae, Streptophyta, Magnoliopsida, Poales, Poaceae.
ACCGCCCCAUGAUGCCAAGCAUUCAUCAGCCAUGAUUGCCCAGCAAAUACACAAGAAACUUCUAGGUUGAACUGACCAGGCGCUGCUUCCAUGUAUAAAAAGAUGCUCGUGAGGCCGUGAUGCUUUGGACUUCAGGCUUGCUCGCGUUCAUAUAUGGCACCGGUGUCUACUCUGGAAUCUGCGUGUUGCUGACUCAAGACCCACUUCCACUGAUUUGAUUGGAUCAUCCUUGUCGAGAUUCCAGUAACAUGUGAUUACUCCAUUGUUUUGUAGAUACGUCCUCUCUUGCCUGAAGCAGCUGCCUAAUGGACUUUGGUCAGAACUUUUGAAUAGCAAAGCGGAAAGUUGAAGAGAUGAGGUGCUAGACUAAUACUAAUGUUCUGGUGCUGUACUGACUAAGUUUGUAUAUCUGACAUCUCAACAGGUGAGGCGUUCGGGCACAAAUUAGAAGUAUGUUCUUCAUUUGUCCUCUACCUGAGAAUGCUGAAUCGUCCUCCCGGGUCGCCUCCCUUGGCGACUCCGGAGGCUCCCAAGCCGCCACCAGCUAGAGUUCUUCCUCCAGCCGCCCCAACUACCCCGCUGCCGCUGGAGGAGGCCGUCUGACGGCGGACGGCGGCAGCGGGGAGCUUGCCCGACCUCCGUUUUUCUUCCCUAGUUGUUUUCUCAUCGUUUGGAGAUAUGCGAUCUGGGCGAUCGUGCACCGAUACAGGAAGAUUUCGGCCAAGAUCGAAUUCUUGCUGGAGUAGGUCGUCGAUCUGGUUGCCGCAGCACCUGGUCGCCGGUGUCCCGAUCUGGUUGAUGCUGAUUGCCGGCGUCCCGAUCUGGCUGAUGCUGGCGGCUGGCUAUCAGAUCUUGGAACCGCGUCCUUGCCUUGCGUGCGACCAUGGCAUGAUCCAUUGAAUCCUGGAUACAUCAUUGGCGUGCAGCCAAGGCAUGCUUGCAUGAGUGGCUGGAGCAUGAUGCAUGUGGCUCCAUCUGCUCAUGUACAUGGGCGGCGGCGCACCAUUCCCAGAUAGGCGGUGACGCGGGCCAGCUCUGGUUUGCGCCUCGUAACAGCCAGUGGCUUCGCCUGUUUCCUGCUGGGCAAUCUGAUAGUUCGUCGAAGAGGAGGACCUACCGGAGACCUGGACUCGUGAUCUGGCCGGUGGGUUGAGUUCCGGAAGGCUCCGCCGACGAAUGUAACAGGGAUUUGCCUGGAGUUUGUUGGAUCGGAGGUAUUCGGUCGUGCGCACCCAUGUUUUUAUUCCGACCGAUUGGUUCUGGAGGGAGCGGCGCGAAGCUCUUUUUCUGUGUUGACAUCAAGUGACUAUGGAUCCAUGAUGAAAGUCGGAAGAAGAGAAUUUCAUGAAGGCCGGAGGGGAGGACUAGCUAAGGGAGGUUCCAACUCUCCGCGUUGUUGAGAGACUUGCUUGGUGUUCCGGGCUUCACAAGAGCGGUAUGAAAGUGGGGGCGACAACACAGGUGAAGUGCAGAGUCCUACCUUUCAGGGUGAAAA